CUGGAGGAGGGGGGAGGUCUCCUGGCCCAUUCUCCAGUGGUCUGUCCACGAUGCCAUGCUCUCUGCCGUGACAUCCAUUGGGUCACUGGAACAGAAGUCCUGAUGUCUCCUGCGGAAGCAUCUUGAGGAAGGCUGAGCUGGAAAGGUGCAGAACAGCACCGGAUGGUAAAGACCCGCAUCCGCAUUCUGUCUCUGAGCACCAGCUGGGCACUAACCUUGGGCAAAUGGACUUCACCUCUCGCUUUUCUCCUCUGAAAAAUGGAAAUAAGGCUAAUUACAAGUCCUACAUAUACUUUUAGGAUGAAGUGACCUCAGGUAGACAAGACAUUUAACGUGGUGCUUACAAGAAAUGCUUCCAGACCGAAGGGGAAGUGUCACCUGGGUGUAUCUCUGCCAGGAUCUGAUGGAAGGCCAACCCUUUCAGAAUCUUCACUCUAUGAUUUUGGAAAGGGAAGAGCCAGAAGGGACUUGAGGGGCUAUGAGACCUACUCUCUCCCUUGACCCAUUAGGUUGGGAUGCUGAGGCCCAAAGAGGCGGCUAUGAGACUAAGUUCCGGCCAAUGAGGUACAAGCAGUAGUGUCCUAUGUGACUUCUAGAAACAUCCUUUCAUUUCUUUUCCAUCCUGCUGGCUGGAUGUGGAGGUGAUGGCUGGAGCUUGAGCAGCUCUCAUGGAUGAUGAGGGGAAAGCCAUUUUGAAAACAGUAGAGCAUCAAGAUAAUGGCCCUGGACCCCUGGCUUUGCAGAACAUUAUGCAACCCCUAGAAUGUUUCAUCCGUGAGAGAAUAAAGCCAUGUGUUUAACAGCUA
Suricata suricatta (meerkat) is the source of this 806-nucleotide long non-coding RNA. RefSeq lists it as uncharacterized. The record is from RefSeq and is a predicted model, not a curated record. NCBI's taxonomy places the organism in Eukaryota, Metazoa, Chordata, Mammalia, Carnivora, Herpestidae. The transcript is spliced from 2 exons.